Molecule: ribosomal RNA, 483 nt
Filed under: uncultured bacterium
Lineage: Bacteria
Description: partial 16S ribosomal RNA
Rfam family: Bacterial small subunit ribosomal RNA
Source: RNAcentral
GACGAACGCUGGCGGCGUGCUUAACACAUGCAAGUCGAACGCUGAAGCUCAGCUUUUGUUGGGUGGAUGAGUGGCGAACGGGUGAGUAACACGUGAGUAACCUGCCCCCUUCUUUGGGAUAACGCCCGGAAACGGGUGCUAAUACUGGAUAUUCACUGGUCUUCGCAUGGGGGUUGGUGGAAAGGGUUUUUCUGGUGGGGGAUGGGCUCGCGGCCUAUCAGCUUGUUGGUGGGGUGAUGGCCUACCAAGGCUUUGACGGGUAGACGGCCUGAGAGGGUGACCGGGCACAUUGGGACUGAGAUACGGCCCAGACUCCUACGGGAGGCGGCAGUGGGGAAUAUUGCACAAUGGGCGCAAGCCUGAUGCAGCGACGCCGCGUGAGGGAUGGAGGCCUUCGGGUUGUGAACCUCUUUCGCUCAUGGUCAAGCCGCAACAAUGGUUGUGGUGAGGGUAGUGGGUAAAGAAGCGCCGGCUAACUACGUG